Podarcis muralis (Common wall lizard) is the source of this 369-nucleotide non-coding RNA. NCBI's taxonomy places the organism in Eukaryota, Metazoa, Chordata, Lepidosauria, Squamata, Lacertidae. The record is from RefSeq and is a predicted model, not a curated record.
GAAUUUUAUUACAGUCAGCCAAAAAGGAUUUUAAGUGUUCUCUUUUAGUACUACAAGCCAAGACUGAUAAUUCCCUCUUUGGUCCCAGAGGUUUGGGAGUAGCAGUCUUUUAUACUUGCUUUAAUUUUGAAAUUUUCUUUCAGAUUAGUUCCUCUACUUGUUUAGCCUGGAUUUGGCCUUGAGUCGCUUGAGCUCCUGGUCUCAGUGCCAGAGAUGACUUAGCAGUUGAGCUGCCUGGGCCCAAAACCUCUUUCUGCUCAUCCUUAGAGCUGCUGAGAGAUCCUAUAAGUGAGGCUCUCCUUCUGAACGAAGAGCUUUCCUUGAUGGGAAGUGGACUGGGAGCUCCGACUAAAGUUCUCUCCACACUCU